CGACCCCAGGUCAGUCGGGACCACCCGCUGAGUUUAAGCAUAUAAAUAAGCGGAGGAGAAGAAACUUACAAGGAUUCCCCUAGUAACGGCGAGCGAACCGGGACCAGCCCAGCUUGAGAAUCGGGUGGCUUCGUCACCUGAAUUGUAGUCUGGAGAGGCGUCCUCAGCGACGGACCGGGCCCAAGUUCCCUGGAAAGGGACGCCUGGGAGGGUGAGAGCCCCGUCCGGCCCGGACCCUGCCGCACCACGAGGCGCCGUCAACGAGUCGGGUUGUUUGGGAAUGCAGCCCAAAUCGGGCGGUAAACUCCGUCCAAGGCUAAAUACAGGCGAGAGACCGAUAGCGAACAAGUACCGUGAGGGAAAGAUGAAAAGGACUUUGAAAAGAGAGUCAAAGAGUGCUUGAAAUUGCCGGGAGGGAAGCGGAUGGGGGCUGGCGAUGCGCCCCGGUCGUAUGCGGAACGGCUUCUGCUGGUCCGCCGAUCGGCUCGGGGCGUGGACUGUUGUCGGCCGUGCCGGCGGCCUAAGCCCGGGGGCCCUAGGUGCCUCCGGUCGCCGUCGUCGGCACGGCCGGUCUCCGCGCGCCGCAAGGCGCGCCCCUCGGGGCGCUGCGCUGCAACGGCCUGCGAGCUCCCCAUCCGACCCGUCUUGAAACACGGACCAAGGAGUCUGACAUGCGUGCGAGUCGACGGGUUCUGAAACCUGGGAUGCGCAAGGAAGCUGACGAGCGGGAGGCCUUCACGGGCUGCACCGCUGGCCGACCCUGAUCUUCUGUGAAGGGUUCGAGUUGGAGCACGCCUGUCGGGACCCGAAAGAUGGUGAACUAUGCCUGAGCGGGGCGAAGCCAGAGGAAACUCUGGUGGAGGCUCGAAGCGAUACUGACGUGCAAAUCGUUCGUCUGACUUGGGUAUAGGGGCGAAAGACUAAUCGAACCAUCUAGUAGCUGGUUCCCUCCGAAGUUUCCCUCAGGAUAGCUGGAGCCCAUUACGAGUUCUAUCGGGUAAAGCCAAUGAUUAGAGGCAUCGGGGGCGCAACGCCCUCGACCUAUUCUCAAACUUUAAAUAGGUAGGACGGCACGGCUGCUCCGGUGAGCCGUGCCAUGGAAUCGGGAGCUCCAAGUGGGCCAUUUUUGGUAAGCAGAACUGGCGAUGCGGGAUGAACCGGAAGCCGGGUUACGGUGCCAAACUGCGCGCUACCUAGAACCCACGGGCACAGGCAAGUUUGUUGUACCAGAAGUGUCGACUGCCGUCUGGAGGAAACGGGAGACCCUUU
Molecule: non-coding RNA, 1269 nt
Filed under: Sorghum bicolor (sorghum)
Lineage: Eukaryota; Viridiplantae; Streptophyta; Magnoliopsida; Poales; Poaceae
Description: Eukaryotic large subunit ribosomal RNA
Rfam family: Eukaryotic large subunit ribosomal RNA
Source: Rfam by way of RNAcentral